CUGAGUGCCGGGUAUAAAAGUUGUGACGCGAAAGAAGCGUCUCACACGUCCCUUCUCGUUCUUCUUUUUUUCUAUUGCUGGAAGAGAUAAAGCUUCCAUUGCGAAGCCUCUUUUCCAUCUUUAAGGAUUCCUUAUAGUAUGCCUUGAACAAGGACUCACCAGACUGACUAACUUGUCUCUCACUCACUCUAAAAACUGUACAGUUCAAGACAGAAAUACAAUAUACAAAGAACAGAGAACAAACUCCAAGAAUGAAACGAGAGCCACUGAAAGACAUUACCAACGUGCAAACGGAUAAGAAAAUGACCCAACAGAACACCAAAAAUGGGCAACCAGCCCGCAGAUGCUUCGAGAUCUUUAGAGGAUCUAACUGAUGGGCGGACCAGAGAGUGAGUGUCAGAGAGGAGUCCGAAUAGUAUUAUCAUGUUCAUGGUUAUUUUGAAAAUCUGCAGAACUCACACAGAAUAGAGAAACACACAAAAGACACAAUCUUAAACCACAAGAAAUAAAC
This 511-nucleotide long non-coding RNA is filed under the name Drosophila guanche. The record is from RNAcentral. Lineage: Eukaryota; Metazoa; Arthropoda; Insecta; Diptera; Drosophilidae.